AUCGCUUGCUACUUGGUGAGGAUC
Molecule: non-coding RNA, 24 nt
Filed under: Arabidopsis thaliana (thale cress)
Lineage: Eukaryota; Viridiplantae; Streptophyta; Magnoliopsida; Brassicales; Brassicaceae
Source: RNAcentral